GACAGAGGGGCCGAGCGUUAGGCGGAAUCACUGGGCUUAAAGCGUGUGUAGGCGGACUUCUAAGUACCUUGUGAAAUCCCACGGCUCAACCGUGGAACUGCUCGGUAUACUGGUCGUCUUGAGCCACCUAGGGGCGAGCGGAACAAGCGGUGGAGCGGUGAAAUGCGUAGAUAUCGCUUGGAACGCCAACGGUGAAAACAGCUCGCUGGGGGUGUGCUGACGCUGAGACACGAAAGCCAGGGGAGCGAACGGG
Molecule: ribosomal RNA, 253 nt
Filed under: uncultured bacterium
Lineage: Bacteria
Description: partial 16S ribosomal RNA
Rfam family: Bacterial small subunit ribosomal RNA
Source: RNAcentral